AAAGAUUAAGCCAUGCAUGUCUCAGUUCACACCUCAAUAUGGUAAAACCGCGAAUGGCUCAUUAAAUCAGCUAUAGUUCCUUAGAUCUUAUAUCCAUACUUGGAUAACUGUGGUAAUUCUAGAGCUAAUACAUGCCUAAAAGCCCUGACUUAACGGAAAGGGUGGCUUUAUUAGAACAAAACCUACCGGCUUCGGCUGUUGGUUUGGUGACUCUGGAUAACUUUUCUGAUCGCACGGCCAAGCGCCAGCGACGUAUCUUUCAAAUGUCUGCCCUAUCAAGUAUCGACGGUAAGUUAUAAGCCUACCGUGCUGAUGACGGGUAACGGGGAAUCAGGGUUCGAUUCCGGAGAGGGAGCCUUAGAAAUGGCUACCACAUCUAAGGAAGGCAGCAGGCGCGCAAAUUACCCACUCUCAGCUAGAGGAGGUAGUGACGAAAAAUAACGAUGCGGGACUCAUUUGAGGCUCCGCAAUUGGAAUGAGAACAAUUUAAAUCCUUUAACGAGGAACAAUUGGAGGGCAAGUCUGGUGCCAGCAGCCGCGGUAACUCCAGCUCCAAUAGCGUAUAUUAAAGUUGCUGCAGUUAAAAAGCUCGUAGUUGGAUCUCAGGUACGGAAUUAGUGGUUGGUUUUAAACUGAACCAUUAAUUUCCGCCUAAUCAGUCGAUUGUUAUCUCAUGUGCUCUUAAUCGAGUGCUUGAGGUACUCGGCACGUUUACUUUGAAAAAAUAAGAGUGCUCAAAGCAGGCCUUGUGCUUGAAUUGUGUUGCAUGGAAUAAUGGAAUAGGACUUCGGUUCUAUUUUGUUGGUUUUCGGAAUCGAAGUAAUGAUUAAAAGGGACAUACGGGGGCAUCUGUAUGGUGGUGUUAGAGGUGAAAUUCGAUGAUCACCGCCAGACAAUCAACUGCGAAAGCAUGCCAAGGAGU
Molecule: ribosomal RNA, 922 nt
Filed under: Lagenopolycystis peresi
Lineage: Eukaryota; Metazoa; Platyhelminthes; Rhabdocoela; Polycystididae
Description: SSU rRNA
Rfam family: Eukaryotic small subunit ribosomal RNA
Source: RNAcentral